UCUGCCGCGAAAUUCCGAAUGCUUCCCAAGAUUUGCAGAAAUGAAUUUGGAAAAAUGCUUAUUAUUUUUGGUCGACGUUUAGCUGGGCCCUGGCACUAUACGACUAAACAGAAUGUUUGAGCAUUGCAAUAAGCUUAUUUCCACCAAAAAUAUUCAUGGAAGCUCAUCGAUUGGUUGACUAAUGAACAUGAAUAUUCAGGAAGUCAUAGAUUUUUCAAAAAUCUUUCAGCCACGUUUUUUGACGUAGUGUAAAAGGAGACAAUAGGCGUGGUUUGCGAUAAUGCUGUGGGGAAUACAUUACCGCUACAUUGCUAGAAAUUACAAUUUUCACCUAAAUUUCAAAUGUUAUACUCUAUACAUGUAUAAGAGAAUAGCUAGCAGUAGCGAUAAUACAUACUAUUCAGACAUGGUAAUGAGCAUAUUGGGCUAGAUGCUGUCAUAAGACAGUGAUAACCACGGGGAACUGCUUGCCCUUAGAUAUACUCAUCCAUUUUUAGUAGCAAAAAAUCUGAACCUGCACCGACACAGCAUUCAUAAUAGAUAGCUUGGUCAGAAAAGAACAGUUCGAGUGAAAAUUGAAAGGCUAGUCCAUAUAUCAUGAUGAUUGUACAGCCACAGAUGCUUCCAGAAAUAAUUUUCACCACAUGAAGCAGCAGAGAUGGUCCAUGUUAGGGAAAACAGAUUAUUAUCUCGAUUUAUCACCAUGUGGAACGUGCACUGUGUGUUCACUACCCGGAUCUUCACCAACAUUGUAUUCAGAGCACUUACUGGAUCCAGCGAUGUAUCUUUCGUCAUGACGUGAAUUGAUGCAGACAGAGGUUCAGCCACUGUGGAUUUGCAUUGCAGACUUCCAAAAAUCCCGGUCUUCGAUAAUUACAGACUGAUAGGCAUAAUUUUGCAUAGAAUGGUGUAUCCGGGGGUACGUUUUUUUUUCAGACUCCCUAGAAUCAAGAUGAUAUUUCUAUUGGUUAAUGUAUAUAUUCAUUUAUUUUAUGCUGCCAUAUCAUCAUCAACACACACAUUGUAUCAUAUUUGUACUUUUAAAAAUGAAGUAUUAAAUGACCAUUACAAGUACGCCGAAUCACAAUAACGACUUGUGCUUAUAGAAACAAUUUUAACCUUCUUAAAGGAUUUUCUGGUCAAGUUUGCGUCUGUUAUCCAAGUUGAAGUAAUCGCGAAAUAACCUCCUGUAGUUGUCAGACAAUUUGGACUGUUCAAGUACUUUAUUUGUCUAUCGAGUCUCCAAGAGAUUUUGGAUUCUGAUACUUUGAUCUGUGGGCAACCUGUAGUUGAAACACGUUUUGUCAAUAAAAACUGCGUGUGUAUUUAUUAAACGUGAUUGAUAGAUAUUUUAUCGAUUUUAAGCUAAAGAAAUGCUGGUAAUUUAUCUUAUGUGUCCAGAUAUGAAAUUUUAUGUAUGCAUUGUUGUAGAGAAACUUUGAUUGGUGUAACAAUAAAUCAUCUAAAGAACGAAUCUAAUAAUUAUGGUGUCGACUUCCAAAAUUGUUUGAUAAUUAUGCAUAAAAUUAAUAGACAAUAUACCUAAACACGGAAGUUGUUUUUUCUUACCCUUUCUAUAUCUUGUUUAAGCGAUGUAUUCAACAAACAUUGCCGAUAAACUGUAGUAUAGAAACGUAUUCAGGUGGUGGGUAUGUCAUCGCAUUAUCUUUUUUAUCAAGACAGUUUAUUUGGUCACUCCCUAUGCGCCAUGUAAUAGAAAUUAAUGUAAAUAUAUAUCGUAUCUAUUCAGAUAAAUAAUGAAAAUAAUAAUUUCAUGAACGGUCUGAGUGCAAUACUAGUAAGAUAGAUAAUGAAUGAUAUUGUAAUCCGCUGAGAAUUUUUUUUUAAAAGGGUUGAAAAUUUGAUCAAUUUUCAGCAUUUUUUUAUUUUGAAGUUUUAUCAGCAAAUAAAAUAUUCGAAAGACAUCCCCCACUAAGAAAUAUUUGUAAUGUAGGUUUUAUCCAGUGAAUGCGUCCGUCAAAUCUACCCCAUUCCAAAUACCUCUCAAAAAAUAUGGAAUUUAUUUUAGUUACCAUUUAGUACAAACAGUUACAUGCUAUACUCCCGGGUGAAUCAGAUAUAAAUAUAAAAUCUGCAUAGCUCCUAGCGAUUUGUCGUUGAUGGUAUCAAAAGAAUAGUUAUCUGAAAAUAAGACAUCAAAUACAAUCAAACACCACAGUUUUACUAUUGACAAAAGAAUUCUAUGAUUACAGGUAGAGCAGUCACUGGAUUAAAUCAUGUGAAGUCCAUACACCUUCUCAGUAUCUUUGAUCGCAUACCUCUCUUUCCCGUAUUCAGAUGAAGUUUUUAUGCUUACGUAUUACUUGCAUGCAGGAUUUGAGACGAAUAGAUAUAAAACCAUAUGACAAUAACUACCCGCCGUACACCAGGAAAAUCAAUGCGGUGAUAUAGAAAACAAGUCAAACUUCUUCAUUCAUUCAAAUUUGUGUGGUAUGAUAAAUAUAGGUAGUUUGUUUACUAUUUCGGAACUUAAUAUCUCUUAUGACAUUUGUGUAUAGACAUGAAUAUAAGGUGACUGGA
Ostrea edulis (European flat oyster) is the source of this 2541-nucleotide long non-coding RNA. RefSeq lists it as uncharacterized. The record is from RefSeq and is a predicted model, not a curated record. Lineage: Eukaryota; Metazoa; Mollusca; Bivalvia; Ostreida; Ostreidae. The transcript has 3 exons.